RNAcentral lists this transfer RNA (65 nucleotides) under Papuadytes sp. MB666. Its description in RNAcentral is "transfer RNA-Leu". The record is from RNAcentral. RNAcentral also lists the same sequence under 2 other names. Lineage: Eukaryota; Metazoa; Arthropoda; Insecta; Coleoptera; Dytiscidae.
AUUAUUUUGGCAGAGAAGUGUAAUGAAUUUAGAAUUCAUUUAUGUAAGUAAAUUUACAAGUAAUA